GAUUACAUAUGCAUAUAGUGUUAAUUCUAUAAAAAUGUAGUAUCAACUCACAAAGUUAUCAGGUUAAAUUAGCUUUAUCAAUGAAUAAAAAUGUUGUUGCAUGACCAAUGUCAUACCGUGGUCAAGCCACGGUAUCCAGUAAAAAUUAUUUUGCUGAGUAUCGUAGUAAAAGUUAAGAUAUGAUGUUAAGACUUUUUUUGAGUCGUGCAAUAACAUUAACAGCAAACUAUAAUACAAGUCUAUCUUUUUAAAAGUUUGUAUUGCUAGCUUG
RNAcentral lists this unclassified non-coding RNA (271 nucleotides) under uncultured Rickettsia sp. The record is from RNAcentral. Lineage: Bacteria; Pseudomonadati; Pseudomonadota; Alphaproteobacteria; Rickettsiales; Rickettsiaceae.